This 200-nucleotide unclassified non-coding RNA is filed under the name uncultured Lachancea. RNAcentral describes it as "sequence contains ITS2". The record is from RNAcentral. Lineage: Eukaryota; Fungi; Ascomycota; Saccharomycetes; Saccharomycetales; Saccharomycetaceae.
UUAAGUUCAGCGGGUAAUCCUACCUGAUUUGAGGUCAAACUUUGUGAAUACUGUUUGCCAGGCUGUCUGUACUUUCAACUAAAGUCUUUAUAACGUCUACUAACGCCACUACGAGUUGGUAAAACCUAAUACGCAGAGUAUCAGCAAACUGGACUAGAGUCUCAGUCAGCAACAGCCAAAUGGCCAGCAUUUUCAAGUUA